UUCAAUCGCAGACUGUGCAGGGAAAGGAGAUAUUGGGACCCACUCAACCCACUACAUGUCAGUGAUGAACACCUGGUGCAGGUGUAUAGAUUUCCCCGUCAGGAAAUCAUCAGGCUCUGCGAUGAGCUGCGCCCCCACCUGGAAAGGAGAACCAGGAGGGCACAUGCACUCCCAACACACACCCAGGAGACAGUGCGUAUCCUCUGGAGCCAUUCCUGAUGACCCCAGUUGCAUGCCCGACAACACUUGGGGAGGAACGAUACAAGCCCUCGCAGGACAAGAUGCGUUGUCGAACCGACCUUUGGGAUCCUCAAGUCAAGGUGCAGGUGCCUACAUAAGUCAGGAGGAAGUUUGCAGUAUGACCCCAAGAAGACUAUGAAGAUUGCGACUUCUUGUAUGCUCCUGUACAACUACUGAGUGGAUCGCUGCAGAAGAAGUACCAGUUCAGCCUGUGAGAAACAACAGACAGAUUCCUGGUCAAGUUGUCAGGCAGGAAAUUAUUAGAAACUUCUUUUCCUGAGUACAGGUAGGCAUAUAUGUAGACCUUGCAGUUAGUAAUAGAUUACUUUCAAAUGUAAAUGUGCACAACUCACACUCGGAGGCAUAAGAACAAAACAACGUGGUGAUCCAGAGGACUUGACUCCCACUGCAAGACGUUGAGAGUUUUCAACCAUUGACAAGUGGCGGAGGGUUACCAACAUGCUGCCUAACAGAUCUUCAAGAGGGGCACCACCUCCACACCACACAUUCUUAUCACCUAGUUUGAUAACCUACGUACUUGUCCAUCUCACAUGGCCCAUGUAUCUCAGCAUUCUGCACUCUUGGCUCCAUGUCAUCCUCUUCAACUUGUUGCUUCGAAUAGCAUAACUGGCCUCACAUACAUAGAAGUGUUCAAUAUACCUAGGCUAUAAUAUUAUAUUUAAGGACUCCUAUACGAGGUAUCGCCCCAGACAGAGGUGUCGAAGUAAGUCUGUCUGAUGGUAGGCUGGCUGACUGCUGUCGGGACCCAAGCCAGCAUGCCCUGGGG
This is a long non-coding RNA of Eriocheir sinensis (Chinese mitten crab), 1027 nucleotides long. RefSeq lists it as uncharacterized. The record is from RefSeq and is a predicted model, not a curated record. NCBI's taxonomy places the organism in Eukaryota, Metazoa, Arthropoda, Malacostraca, Decapoda, Varunidae. The transcript has 3 exons.